CUGGCGGAUGCUUUACCUGCAAGUCGGGCGGCAGCAUGGACUUCGGUCUGAUGGCGAGCGGCGAACGGGUGAGUAAUGCAUCGGAACGUACCUAGUCGUGGGGGAUAACUAGUCGAAAGAUUAGCUAAUACCGCAUACGUCCUACGGGAGAAAGCAGGGGAUCGCAAGACCUUGCGCGAUUGGAGCGGCCGAUGUCUGAUUAGCUAGUUGGUGGGGUAAAGGCUCACCAAGGCGACGAUCAGUAGCGGGUCUGAGAGGAUGAUCCGCCACACUGGAACUGAGACACGGUCCAGACUCCUACGGGAGGCAGCAGUGGGGAAUUUUGGACAAUGGGGGCAACCCUGAUCCAGCCAUUCCGCGUGAGUGAAGAAGGCCUUCGGGUUGUAAAGCUCUUUCGGCAGGAACGAAACGGUUCGCUCUAACAUAGCGGACUACUGACGGUACCUGAAGAAGAAGCACCGGCUAACUACGUGCCAGCAGCCGCGGUAAUACGUAGGGUGCGAGCGUUAAUCGGAAUUACUGGGCGUAAAGCGUGCGCAGGCGGCUUUUUAAGCCAGAUGUGAAAUCCCCGGGCUUAACCUGGGAACUGCAUUUGGAACUGGAAGGCUAGAGUGCGGCAGAGGGGGGUAGAAUUCCACGUGUAGCAGUGAAAUGCGUAGAGAUGUGGAGGAAUACCGAUGGCGAAGGCAGCCCCCUGGGUCGACACUGACGCUCAUGCACGAAAGCGUGGGGAGCAAACAGGAUUAGAUACCCUGGUAGUCCACGCCCUAAACGAUGUCAACUAGUUGUUGGAGAGUGAAUCCUUUAGUACGAAGCUAAC
RNAcentral lists this ribosomal RNA (820 nucleotides) under uncultured Methyloversatilis sp. RNAcentral's name for it is "bacterial SSU rRNA". It matches the Rfam family "Bacterial small subunit ribosomal RNA", at positions 36 to 856 of the family's 1533-position model. Lineage: Bacteria; Pseudomonadati; Pseudomonadota; Betaproteobacteria; Nitrosomonadales; Sterolibacteriaceae. The record is from RNAcentral.